CUCAUAGCGUAUAUUAAGUUGUUGCAGUUAGAACGCUCGUAGUCGGAUUUCGGGGCAGUCCGACCGGUCUGCCGAUGGGUAUGCACUGGCCGGAGUGUCCUUUUUGCCGGAGACCGUGCCUACUCUUAACUGAGCGGGGGCGGGAGACGGCACUUUUACUUUGAAAAAAUCAGAGUGUUUCAAGCAGGCAGCUCGCUCUUGCAUGGAUUAGCAUGGGAUAAUGAAAUAGGACUUUGGUGCUAUUUUGUUGGUUUCGAACACCGAAGUAAUGAUGAGAAGGGACAGUCAGGGGCACUCGUAUUCCGCAGAGAGAGGUGAAAUUCUCAGACCCGCGGAAGACGAACCACUGCGAAAGCAUUUGCCAGGGAUGUUUUCACUGAUCAAGAACGAAAGUUAGGGGAUCGAAGAUGAUCAGAUACCGUCGUAGUCUUAACCAUAAACCAUGCCGACUAGGGAUUGGAGGAUGUUCACUGAUUGACUCCUUCAGCACCUUACGGGAAACUAAAGUCUUUGGGUUCCGGGGGGAGUAUGGUCGCAAGGCUGAAACUUAAAGGAAUUGACGGAAGGGCACCACCAGGUGUGGAGCCUGCGGCUUAAUUUGACUCAACACGGGGAAACUUACCAGGUCCAGACAUUGUGAGGAUUGACAGAUUGAGAGCUCUUUCUUGAUUCGAUGGGUGGUGGUGCAUGGCCGUUCUUAGU
Molecule: ribosomal RNA, 702 nt
Filed under: uncultured eukaryote
Lineage: Eukaryota
Description: SSU rRNA
Rfam family: Eukaryotic small subunit ribosomal RNA
Source: RNAcentral